Molecule: ribosomal RNA, 540 nt
Filed under: uncultured bacterium
Lineage: Bacteria
Description: bacterial SSU rRNA
Rfam family: Bacterial small subunit ribosomal RNA
Source: RNAcentral
UGAGGAAUAUUGGUCAAUGGACGGAAGUCUGAACCAGCCAAGUAGCGUGCAGGAUGACGGCCCUAUGGGUUGUAAACUGCUUUUGUAUGGGGAUAAAGUUAGGGACGUGUCCCUAUUUGCAGGUACCAUACGAAUAAGGACCGGCUAAUUCCGUGCCAGCAGCCGCGGUAAUACGGAAGGUUCAGGCGUUAUCCGGAUUUAUUGGGUUUAAAGGGAGCGUAGGCUGGAGAUUAAGUGUGUUGUGAAAUGUAGACGCUCAACGUCUGACUUGCAGCGCAUACUGGUUUCCUUGAGUACGCACAACGUUGGCGGAAUUCGUCGUGUAGCGGUGAAAUGCUUAGAUAUGACGAAGAACUCCGAUUGCGAAGGCAGCUGACGGGAGCGCAACUGACGCUUAAGCUCGAAGGUGCGGGUAUCAAACAGGAUUAGAUACCCUGGUAGUCCGCACAGUAAACGAUGGAUGCCCGCUGUUGGUACCUGGUAUCAGCGGCUAAGCGAAAGCAUUAAGCAUCCCACCUGGGGAGUACGCCGGCAACGGUG